This 1620-nucleotide long non-coding RNA is filed under the name Pongo abelii (Sumatran orangutan). RNAcentral's name for it is "lincRNA". The record is from RNAcentral. Lineage: Eukaryota; Metazoa; Chordata; Mammalia; Primates; Hominidae.
CGAUCUCUUGACCUCGUGAUCCGCCCGCCUCGGCCUUCCAGAGUGCUGGGAUUACAGGCGUGAGCCACCGCGUCCAGCCUCACCCAGAUGGAGUCUCAAUCUGUCACCCAGGCUAGAGCACAGUGGCGCAAUCUUGGCUCACUGCAACCUCCGUCUUCAGGAUUCAGAUGAGAAACCCAAGGUCCAGAAAGGGGACGCAAUGGCCAUAGCAGCAGCAGAGCAGGGACUGAAUCCCAAGGCUGAUGACUUUGACUUCGGUGCUCCAGCAUUUGUCUUCCCUGGAUUUCUCAGCUCACAGGCUCGAUAACUCUCUUCUCUCCCCAGACUUGUUGGCAGGCAAGAGGAAUAACUCACGUGAGUCAAAAGCAAUUUGCAAACAUAAAUAAUUUUCGAUGCCAGGAGAGGAGACGGUGGGAAGAUGCACGGAAGGUUGAGAGGAACACAGCCAGCCCCAAGUCUCCCUCGCCCUGCUGGGCACUUCCUCUCCCCUCCUCGGCGCUGGUGGGAGAGUCGGAGUGCGCCAUAAACAAGGCAGGAAACGGCUAUCAUGAUGCUCGCUUCCGCUCUUCCUAGAAGGGAUUCUGCUCGCCAAUCUCUCCACUCCCCACCCCCUACCAUGUACAGGAUUUUGUACUCCCAGCUCCUCUGGAGGCUCAGAGGAGGAGAUGGUCCUGCUGCACUGGUCCAGCCUUCCUCUACCUGGCUUGUCUUUUUCCUUGUCCUCAACCCCAAACAGCAAGUAUCCUAACAAAGAAUAGAUAGCACACGAUUAUUUUUGUGACAUUCAUCUCAGUGUCAUAUUCCAAAGGAGCUUGACAUAAUUGUCCUGUUUCUAAUUUGGACACUGGUUUACGAAAGUGUGGUGACCACUAGAGACUGUUCUCUGACAGUGUAACAGGUAUUCACUCCUUUCCCCAGGGUACUAAGACUCACGUGGCCCUGACAGCCAGCACAGUCUCUUAGGAGGUUCCGGAGGGUGGCAGUGGGAAUGAGCAUAGAGCCGUGUCAUUUCGGAGGGCUGAGUGCGUUCCACACACCUUCCCAAAGCCCACCCCAAGAGGCUGUCUAACGCAGGGGGAAACAAUGAGAAACCAGAUACCACGGAAUUAGUGAAGAAUUUCUCAGAUGAAACAGGAAAGGGAGGAAAUCCAGAGGGGUUUACAUUACACCUGGCUCAGGUUGAAAGGAUUCAGGGCCAGUUGUUGGCAAUAUUAAACUCCAGGCUGCGUUUGAAAGGGUCCUUCACUUGGGCAGCCAAAGAGAGGCGUUCCUGCCAGGAUAGGUUGCAUUGCUGCAGAUCUCCAGCCCUACGUGCAUACACACAUGCACACACACGCACACACGCGCACACACACAUGCACAAUGCACACACGCACACGUAUGCAUGCACACACACGCAUGCACACACACAUGCACACACAUGCACACACGUGCAUCUUGGACAUCUCUUGUUAAUGUCAGCCCUCCGCCCCAAACUAGAUUUGAAAACUUGUAGGUAAUCAAGUUUUCUGGUUAAGAGAAAUAAUCCCAGCCAACAGUAAGCUCUUAUGUGUCAGGCCUUAUCCAAACAGUUCACAUGAAGACCAGAUCCAAAAAUAAAAGUGUGCUUUGUCCUCUGUG